CCGAGAACUGUGUGGCCUGAAUGUGUUUACAAAUCCGAGGGACUUGUGUGUAUCCGAUCCGAGGGACUUGUUGCUUGAGUGUGUAUCCGGACUUGUUGCUUGAGUGUGUAUUAAUGGAUAGUGCUUUCAAUGGUUUAACUAAUUUCUUAUGAGAUUAACUUGUCGCCUGAGUGUGUAUCCGAUCCGAGCCUCAAGUUAAUGAAUAAAUCUCCAGAGCUGAUGUUUUACUUAGCUGUCUCUGUCUACAGUAUAUACAGAGAGGUAGCCUCUUCUUUUUCUUUUUUCUGUCAAUAACUGUUUUAACGUUCAAUGAGAUAAAAUACGGUAAAUAAUAAAUUAAUUGUCCA
This is a long non-coding RNA of Halichondria panicea, 347 nucleotides long. RefSeq lists it as uncharacterized. The transcript has 2 exons. Lineage: Eukaryota; Metazoa; Porifera; Demospongiae; Suberitida; Halichondriidae. The record is from RefSeq and is a predicted model, not a curated record.